This 456-nucleotide ribosomal RNA is filed under the name uncultured bacterium. Its description in RNAcentral is "bacterial SSU rRNA". It matches the Rfam family "Bacterial small subunit ribosomal RNA", at positions 34 to 507 of the family's 1533-position model. The record is from RNAcentral.
CGCUGGCGGCGUGCUUAACACAUGCAAGUCGACGGUAAGGCCCUUCGGGGUACACGAGUGGCGAACGGGUGAGUAACACGUGGGUGAUCUGCCCUGCACUUCGGGAUAAGCCUGGGAAACUGGGUCUAAUACCGGAUAGGACCAUGGACUUCACGGUUUGUGGUGGAAAAGCUUUUGCGGUGUGGAAUGGGCCCGCGGCCUAUCAGCUUGUUGGUGGGGUAAUGGCCUACCAAGGCGACGACGGGUAGCCGGCCUGAGAGGGUGUCCGGCCACACUGGGACUGAGAUACGGCCCAGACUCCUACGGGAGGCAGCAGUGGGGAAUAUUGCACAAUGGGCGCAAGCCUGAUGCAGCGACGCCGCGUGAGGGAUGACGGCCUUCGGGUUGUAAACCUCUUUCAAUAGGGACGAAGCGCAAGUGACGGUACCUAUAGAAGAAGCACCGGCCAACUACGUG